Molecule: ribosomal RNA, 251 nt
Filed under: uncultured bacterium
Lineage: Bacteria
Description: partial 16S ribosomal RNA
Rfam family: Bacterial small subunit ribosomal RNA
Source: RNAcentral
GACGGGGGGGGCAAGUGUUCUUCGGAAUGACUGGGCGUAAAGGGCACGUAGGCGGUGAAUCGGGUUGAAAGUGAAAGUCGCCAAAAAGUGGCGGAAUGCUCUCGAAACCAAUUCACUUGAGUGAGACAGAGGAGAGUGGAAUUUCGUGUGUAGCGGUGAAAUGCGUAGAUAUAGGAAGGAACACCAGUGGCGAAGGCGACCACCUGGACUGAUACUGACACUGAGGUGCGAAAGCGUGGGGAUCAAACAGG